AAACCGGAGCUAAUACCGGAUAAUGCUUUUGAACACAUGUUCGAAAGCGGAAAGAUGGUUUCGGCUAUCACUUAUAGAUGGGCCCGCGGCGCAUUAGCUAGUUGGUGAGGUAACGGCUCACCAAGGCGACGAUGCGUAGCCGACCUGAGAGGGUGAUCGGCCACACUGGGACUGAGACACGGCCCAGACUCCUACGGGAGGCAGCAGUAGGGAAUCUUCCGCAAUGGACGAAAGUCUGACGGAGCAACGCCGCGUGAGUGAUGAAGGUUUUCGGAUCGUAAAACUCUGUUGUUAGGGAAGAACAAGUACCGGAGUAACUGCCGGUACCUUGACGGUACCUAACCAGAAAGCCACGGCUAACUACGUGCCAGCAGCCGCGGUAAUACGUAGGUGGCAAGCGUUGUCCGGAAUUAUUGGGCGUAAAGCGCGCGCAGGCGGUUCUUUAAGUCUGAUGUGAAAGCCCACGGCUCAACCGUGGAGGGUCAUUGGAAACUGGGGAACUUGAGUGCAGAAGAGAAGAGCGGAAUUCCACGUGUAGCGGUGAAAUGCGU
RNAcentral lists this ribosomal RNA (551 nucleotides) under Robertmurraya siralis. RNAcentral describes it as "bacterial SSU rRNA". It matches the Rfam family "Bacterial small subunit ribosomal RNA", at positions 154 to 691 of the family's 1533-position model. The record is from RNAcentral. Lineage: Bacteria; Bacillati; Bacillota; Bacilli; Caryophanales; Bacillaceae.